GAAUUGUUCGCAAUGGGCGCAAGCCUGACGACGCAACGCCGCGUGGAGGAUGAAGAUCUUCGGGUCGUAAACUCCUGUCGAGCGGGAAGAACACUUUCCGGGUGAACAAUCCGGAAGGCUGACGGUACCGCUAAAGGAAGCCCCGGCUAACUCCGUGCCAGCAGCCGCGGUAAUACGGGGGGGGCAAGCGUUGUUCGGAAUUACUGGGCGUAAAGGGCUCGUAGGCGGCCAACUAAGUCGGACGUGAAAUCCCCAGGCUCAACCUGGGAACUGCGUCCGAUACUGGAUGGCUUGAAUCCGGGAGAGGGAUGCAGAAUUCCAGGUGUAGCGGUGAAAUGCGUAGAUAUCUGGAGGAAUACCGGUGGCGAAGGCGGCAUCCUGGACCGGCAUUGACGCUGAGGAGCGAAAGCCAGGGGAGCAAACGGG
RNAcentral lists this ribosomal RNA (426 nucleotides) under uncultured bacterium. RNAcentral's name for it is "bacterial SSU rRNA". It matches the Rfam family "Bacterial small subunit ribosomal RNA", at positions 359 to 776 of the family's 1533-position model. The record is from RNAcentral.